CCGUCAUUGCCGUCAUGGCGUAGGCCACGGAGUCCACGCUGGCGUGAACGAAAACGUUGGGCGUGAAUGGAGCUCUGCGUCGCGCACAAGUGCACUCCAGACAUGCCCCAGCGCCGUACGAAGUCAUGACUGUGUCGCCCAAGAAUUAGUCACACCAUUUCAGGCCCUCCAAAAUGUAACCACACCGGUCUCUCUUCAGGGAUUUAGAAGAUGCACUAUCGACGUAUUUUCACUUGAACGACGUAUUUUUACUUGCCUCAUGUAAAAUGUAACUAAGGAUAAUAAUUGGCUCCUGUUUCUAAGGGACACUGACUUGCAUCAGCUCUCCUGCGAAGCAUGAUUGAUGGCUGCUGGCCGGCGGCAUCAGCACUCGAAGUAUUCCCAGGUGGUCUCCCUCCCUAAGUACUGAAAGCUUCCAGUGCUCCUUGGCUUUUUUGUUCAGAUCUGAUGGCCUCUGUGGGGGAACUGGCAACUUCGUGUCCUUGCCUGCAGAUUGUCAAGCACUUAUAAGCAAAACUUAAAAGCCAUAUAUACUCUAUUGGGAAUGCCUUCCAGGAACCAUUAAAUCUGUUUUCGGACCUUGUUAA
Molecule: long non-coding RNA, 587 nt
Organism: Rhipicephalus sanguineus (brown dog tick)
Lineage: Eukaryota; Metazoa; Arthropoda; Arachnida; Ixodida; Ixodidae
Exons: 3
Source: RefSeq, a predicted model, not a curated record